This 86-nucleotide transfer RNA is filed under the name Medicago truncatula (barrel medic). It matches the Rfam family "tRNA". Rfam says of the family: Transfer RNA (tRNA) molecules are approximately 80 nucleotides in length. The record is from Rfam by way of RNAcentral. Lineage: Eukaryota; Viridiplantae; Streptophyta; Magnoliopsida; Fabales; Fabaceae.
CCGACCUUAGCUCAGUUGGUAGAGCGGAGGACUGUAGUUGGUACGCAGAUAUCCUUAGGUCACUGGUUCGAAUCCGGUAGGUCGGA